Molecule: ribosomal RNA, 464 nt
Filed under: uncultured Acholeplasma sp.
Lineage: Bacteria; Bacillati; Mycoplasmatota; Mollicutes; Acholeplasmatales; Acholeplasmataceae
Description: bacterial SSU rRNA
Rfam family: Bacterial small subunit ribosomal RNA
Source: RNAcentral
GACGGGACCCCGCACAAGCGGUGGAUCAUGUGUUUAAUUCGAUGAUACGCGGAGAACCUUACCAGGUCUUGACAUCCCCCGCGAUGCUUUAGAGAUAAAGCGGAGGUAUUCGGGGAGACAGGUGGUGCAUGGUUGUCGUCAGCUCGUGUCGUGAGAUGUUGGGUUAAGUCCCGCAACGAGCGCAACCCCUAUUGCUAGUUACCAUCAUUAAGUUGGGGACUCUAGCGAGACUGCCAGUGAUAAACUGGAGGAAGGUGGGGAUGACGUCAAAUCAUCAUGCCCCUUAUGACCUGGGCUACAAACGUGAUACAAUGGCUGGAACAAAGGGAUGCGAAGCAGUGAUGUGGAGCGAAACCCAUAAAAACAGUCUCAGUUCGGAUUGAAGUCUGCAACUCGACUUCAUGAAGUCGGAAUCGCUAGUAAUCGCGGAUCAGAACGCCGCGGUGAAUACGUUCUCGGGGUUU